GAUGAACGCUGGCGGCGUGCCUAAUACAUGCAAGUAGAACGCUGAAGGAGGAGCUUGCUCUUCUGGAUGAGUUGCGAACGGGUGAGUAACGCGUAGGUAACCUGCCUGGUAGCGGGGGAUAACUAUUGGAAACGAUAGCUAAUACCGCAUGACAACAGUUAUUGCAUGAUAACUGUUUAAAAGGGGCAACUGCUCCACUACCAGAUGGACCUGCGUUGUAUUAGCUAGUUGGUGAGGUAACGGCUCACCAAGGCGACGAUACAUAGCCGACCUGAGAGGGUGAUCGGCCACACUGGGACUGAGACACGGCCCAGACUCCUACGGGAGGCAGCCGUAGGGAAUCUUCGGCAAUGGACGGAAGUCUGACCGAGCAACGCCGCGUGAGUGAAGAAGGUUUUCGGAUCGUAAAGCUCUGUUGUAAGAGAAGAACGAGUGUGAGAGUGGAAAGUUCACACUGUGACGGUAUCUUACCAGAAAGGGACGGCUAACUACGUG
This 495-nucleotide ribosomal RNA is filed under the name uncultured bacterium. Its description in RNAcentral is "partial 16S ribosomal RNA". It matches the Rfam family "Bacterial small subunit ribosomal RNA", at positions 28 to 507 of the family's 1533-position model. The record is from RNAcentral.